GAUGAAGAACGCAGUGAAAUGCGAUAAGUAAUGUGAAUUGCAGAAUUCAGUGAAUCAUCGAAUCUUUGAACGCACAUUGCGCCCAUUAGUAUUCUAGUGGGCAUGCCUGUUCGAGCGUCAUUUCAACCCUUAAGCCUAGCUUAGUAUUGGGAAUCGACUUUACUGUCGUUCCUCAAAUUCAACGGCGGAUUUAUAGCAAUCUCUGAACGUAGUAAUUUUUUUCCUCGUUUUUGAAAUACUAUAAACCUCAGCCGCUAAACCCCCAAUUUUUUUAUGGUUGACCUCGGAUCAGGUAGGAAUACCCGCUGAACUUAAGCAUAUCAAUAAGCGGAGGA
RNAcentral lists this unclassified non-coding RNA (335 nucleotides) under soil metagenome. RNAcentral describes it as "partial contains 5.8S ribosomal RNA, internal transcribed spacer 2, and large subunit ribosomal RNA". The stretch from base 1 to 120 matches the Rfam family "5.8S ribosomal RNA", at positions 35 to 154 of the family's 154-position model. The record is from RNAcentral.